Molecule: long non-coding RNA, 3532 nt
Organism: Sorghum bicolor (sorghum)
Lineage: Eukaryota; Viridiplantae; Streptophyta; Magnoliopsida; Poales; Poaceae
Exons: 6
Source: RefSeq, a predicted model, not a curated record
CCGCGGCGCGGCUUCCCUCUCACGCCAGACGAUGUGGUGGACCCAGCUCCGCACCCCUCUCCCGUGCGAUCCUUGGUGCUCUGUCGCGCGGUGCCCCCGAUCCCAUCGCUCCCUCGAUCCUCCGUGCAAGAGAUCUGGGAUUUCCGGCGUUCCCUCCUCCGUCCAAAGAUCUCAGCUCCAAUCCUCAAUCCAUCUCCCGUCUCUUCCAAGGUGUGCCUACCCUCCCUGACCUCGCACCCAUGGCUGCCCUACCCUACGCGGCUAGGGUUUUCCGGCCACCUUCCCCCACCCCGAUCCAACAACGCCGCAAAUUAAAGAAGCCGCCGCUGCUCCGCCCUCGCCGGCUCCGACCCGUAACCUUCCCCAUGGCGCUCAAUUCUCCAUCGCCAACACCGGAUGCCCAGCCGGCUCCACACCAUCCCCAUUGCCUGCACGAUCUGCCAUGCUAACGCGACGAGCUCUAUGGUGGCGAGUACACAACAGACAAACCCAAGGGCAGGCCACCAGGCGAGGCCGCCCACCCAGGACGUCGGGCCACUGGCCACAGGCCCCGUCGAGUGGCUUCCUAAAGGCGGCGUGCGGAGGGCUCUUCAGCCGCCUUGAUAGCAACCACGAUGGCCCAUCGUGUGGUCGUGCGGAUCCACUAAGGCACGGGGAGCCUUCAUCAUGGCUCUGUCGAUGUUGCCAACUUCUGAGCCAGAGGAGAUGGAGGAGAUGAACAGCGCCGAGGGUUCCGAUCUGGUCCCAUCCGUGGACCAAUUCAUUCUUGGUGCUCAGAGCAAGAGAAGGUGCCGCCUUCACACGCCAGCUGCCAGCAAGAGCGCUACCGUGUGGCAGGCCUGGUGGCCAAGAUGCAAAGUGAGAGCUAAUCGGUCACAGAGUGAGUAGCGGCAGCGAGGUGCGCCGUCGUGGCCUUGUUACUCACCUCCCUCCAGGCCCCACAUCAUGGAAGGAGCAGGAGAGCCGCUGCCAUGCGCAUAUGUCAGAUGAUUGUUGUAGGCAGUAUCACCAUUACAAGGUCUGAGGGAGUACCAACAUAAUCUUAAAGGCAAGUAUAAAAAAUAUUUUCUUGUCAGGAAGAUGUGGAGCUUAUGCAUGGGAUGGGAUGUGGAGUUUAUGCUUGGGAUGGGUUUAGAUGCUUACAGAUUCUCUAUUGGUUGGCCAAGGCUGAUUCCAGGUAGGUCAGGUGACGAGCCCAAAUCAUCUUCAGGAGAAGAUCGAGCUUCUUCAUACACUAUCAUCAACGAUAAGAAGCUAUCACAUCUUCCAAAGUUAAAGCAGGUCUUGGCCCAACUAUGCAUGCAACCAACAUUGAUCAACUGGGCGGAGUAGACCAAGUUUUUUCUAUGCAGAUGGAACAUAGGUUGGAGAGACAUCUUGGGGAGAAUUCUAGAUUAGUAGUCGUAAAGAACGUUGGGCAUGUGGCCAGUCUAGAGAAGUCCAAAGUGGUGUGCAAGAGCAUCAUCAGCUAUUUUCAGGAACCGGCUUCAAGUGCUUCAAUCGGGGGAAAGGUAGGCAAUGGUUGCAAUUAUUAAGAAUAAUUUGGUUUGGUGGAUUUUGUGUAGCCAGCUUUAGCGUCCAAUUUGAGUGCCAAAAGAAAUAGUCAAAGGCGUCUUGUUUCUUUCCCGUUAUUCCUUUCAUCCUUUGGCAAGGCCGCACGGGCUUUGGAAAGUAUGGGUUUUAUGAUGAAAUACGCUUUACUUUCGAUGUCGAAUAAUCUGGGAUGGGUUGUUUUAAUUUGUUUAUAUACUUGAAUGUUGUCGUAGCGUUAGCACGGGCAGUAUACUAUGAAAGAAAAAAAAUAGUAGAAUGUUGCACCAUGUAAAAGUUCCUUACAGAUUUUCAGAUUGUUCAAUGCAUGCAUUACUCUAUGAACGGGCGCAUGUUCCUGAAUCUAUAGCUUUUAUUAUAUUCUUCAAGUGUUUCUAGCUGAAAAACCUAUACAUGGUGCAAUCAUAGUCUACCAGAUCAGGAAGAAUGGUGUCAAUUCAGCCACUUAUGUCUGUGUAAUCUUUUUGUAUAUUUUUUGGUUGAAGUUCCAAAAAUAUAAUUUUGUUAGAAGUUAGGCAAAUUCUAAAUUUUUAAUAGUUGUACGUUAGGAUCACUGGGUAGCCAUUUUGUGUAUUAAUAUGAUCAUUGUCCUUAAUCUAAUAAUCUAUUCUUGACACUGAUACAACUUUUAUGAAUUUUAUUUGUAAUCACGUAAUAGUCAAUAAUUGAUUUUCUUAAGAGAACUCUAUUGUGAUCUUCGACACUCCAUUUUGUCCUCAUAGGUCUUCAUUGUCGAGAAAGAAAAUACUUUUGUGCUUUUAAUUGGCAUCUAACAGAUCUCAUCAUACACUUAAUUAUUUGUUAAAGUUUUGUCAAGUUUAUCAUGUUUUGCAGUCUAACACUUAUGGCUGUACUAAUAUCUGUUGUUACUAAUAAUUUUCCUUCUUUUAUUUGCAACUAAAAAGAAAAGCUCCCUAUGUGUGGGAUAUGAUACUACUGAGUCAAUUGAAUGGACUAUGACCAGUCUUGGGUUCAUUCAAGGAGUUAGCAGUUUACUUAGGACCCCCCAAUACUGCUGAUCUGCUAGGACAUAUACAAGUCAAAAAGCUAAUAAAUCCUCCAAAGCUAGACCUCAUCCAGGCACCAAGACCAAAUGCUGGCAAGUUGAAUAUCUCACAUUGGUGUGUCCACACGUAGGCCAACUAGCUGCAGGCCAAGAUUGACGCCACUAGGCACCAGUCUCAUUGCUUAGGGGUGUCACUCAUACACGGUGAUGAGCCAUUGGCACAUAGGAGUGUUUGGAGCAUGCUACCGCUGCCCAUCAAAAAGCAUGCUUUAGCAAGCAUCUGUUUUGUGGAAGUCCGUGUGGACGCAGAACAACUUGUCCUGCCCAUCGUGGGACUGCCUGUGCCUAAACCUGCUCGUUGUGGGGUUGCUUGUGCCCAAGGAUGACGUAAUCGAUGCCAUCAGGGUCGUUGGGGACCUGGUCGUCAGGCUGCCAGACUUAGGUGCAAUACUAUGUGCAUCAAGCAGCUGCUUAUCACGGUGAGUUUUCACAUUAUGGUCCUCUUGAUUGAUGACUUUUCAGGAUAUUUUUUUCUAUCAGUUCUCAUGGGAUUCGGUGGGGUUAUAGGUCAAUUUGCCUUCUGUGUUGACAAAUGCUUGAUGCCUUGGUUGGUUCGAUUUAUGGUUGCUAUUCUAUGUGGUCGGACAUAUUUGAUUCUGCUUGGUUGAUGUGCAUGAAAGAAUCAAGCCAGGAAGUUGGAAGCAUUAGUAUAAAAAUACAAUGUAAUUAAUAGCAUGAGAAGGUUAACAACAUGAAGGUACAAAUCAUCUCCUCAUACUAUACAAAGCUGUACUGUGCAUAGGUACGGUAUUGAGGUAGCACUCAGUAGUUACAGUUAGUACAAGCAUGAUUUAAUCUAGAAAGUCGAGUGCAAGUUGCUUCAUUUAUUUUUUUCACCAUUUGACUCCUUGAUUCUGUUUAGAAUGAUUGAAUUAUUAUAAUUUUAAUCAUGUACAAACUUUGUUUUUUGAUUAA